Molecule: long non-coding RNA, 218 nt
Filed under: Mustela putorius furo (domestic ferret)
Lineage: Eukaryota; Metazoa; Chordata; Mammalia; Carnivora; Mustelidae
Description: lncRNA (ENSMPUG00000029777.1)
Source: RNAcentral
ACACAAAUGAAUUUUAUCUGGUGGAUUCACAUUUGAUUUCUGCCCUGUGGAAAAGAUGAUCCAGGAGUCAAAUGUGUUUUGGAUGAAGGAUUCAUAUAUACUCAACAUGAUGCUCCUUGUGGUUGUACCUUGAGGCCAAAGACACAUUUUUGAGGAAGAUGUUACAGGUCACAUGUAGGGUAAGUGUCAAGUCAACAUGUCUUUGAAUGGAGGUCAUC